GACACCAGUUUAAGUCGAGCGAAACAUAGGGGAAGAUGUAAAAUACCCAAAGGAAGGAGGUGCAUACAAGAUGGUAUAAUUUUCCUCAACGCAGCGAGAUGAGGAAGAAGCUACUGGUGUUCCUUUAAAACCUUUGGGAUUUUCAAAGCGGUCCCCAGUCCUUCAUUCCACUACAUACGACCAAAUUGUAUUUGUCAUUAGGAAAACAACUGCUAUGCAUGCUCAAAUGUUACUGCAAAGUUGUAAUUCUGGAUAAAAAGUUCAAAAUGUAGAGGAGUUAGAUAUGUGUCACGGAAAAGAAAUGAUUAAAAUUGGAAAUACGAACCACAUCAGAGUAAGGAAGGUACAACGAAAGGGAUUGGGGACAACCAAUGAACGAAUCUUGACAGAAACGACCACAACCAAUUGAAGUGUACAAGAAUGUGGAUAGAAGAAAGGAUAACAAUAUCACAAAUGUUAGAUGCUUGUAAUACAAAUUGUGACUGUUUCUUUGCCAAUUUCUUUCCAUUAAAUAAGAAAAUGA
Ostrea edulis (European flat oyster) is the source of this 523-nucleotide long non-coding RNA. RefSeq lists it as uncharacterized. NCBI's taxonomy places the organism in Eukaryota, Metazoa, Mollusca, Bivalvia, Ostreida, Ostreidae. The record is from RefSeq and is a predicted model, not a curated record. The transcript has 3 exons.